UGUGUGUGUGUGUGUGUAUGUUGAUUCCAUGUCUUGGCUAUUGUAAAUAAUGCUGCAGUGAACAUGGGGGAGCAGGUAUCUUUUCGAAUUAGGGUUUUUAUUCUAAUCCCACAAA
This is a long non-coding RNA of Lynx canadensis (Canada lynx), 115 nucleotides long. RefSeq lists it as uncharacterized. The transcript is spliced from 4 exons. NCBI's taxonomy places the organism in Eukaryota, Metazoa, Chordata, Mammalia, Carnivora, Felidae. The record is from RefSeq and is a predicted model, not a curated record.